UACGUAGGGUGCAAGCGUUGUCCGGAAUUAUUGGGCGUAAAGAGCUCGUAGGCGGUCUGUCGCGUCGAUCGUGAAAACUUGGGGCUUAACCCUGAGCUUGCGGUCGAUACGGGCAUGACUGGAGUUCGGCAGGGGAGACUGGAAUUCCUGGUGUAGCGGUGAAAUGCGCAGAUAUCAGGAGGAACACCGGUGGCGAAGGCGGAUCUCUGGGCCAUUACUGACGCUGAGGAGCGAAAGCGUGGGGAGCGAACAGG
RNAcentral lists this ribosomal RNA (254 nucleotides) under uncultured bacterium. Its description in RNAcentral is "partial 16S ribosomal RNA". It matches the Rfam family "Bacterial small subunit ribosomal RNA", at positions 524 to 776 of the family's 1533-position model. The record is from RNAcentral.